UCUGCACUGGCUGGUUUGUUAAUCAGCUGGGAUGUGGGGCCCUUCCAGAUGGAAGCUGGUGUUGAAUCAGAAGUGAGGUAGGUGCUGCCUCGAUUCCC
This is a non-coding RNA of Ceratotherium simum simum (southern white rhinoceros), 98 nucleotides long. Lineage: Eukaryota; Metazoa; Chordata; Mammalia; Perissodactyla; Rhinocerotidae. The record is from RefSeq and is a predicted model, not a curated record.